RNAcentral lists this unclassified non-coding RNA (246 nucleotides) under Hevea brasiliensis (rubber tree). The record is from RNAcentral. Lineage: Eukaryota; Viridiplantae; Streptophyta; Magnoliopsida; Malpighiales; Euphorbiaceae.
GUUUACAUCAGCACUUGUUUUAAUUGAGUUUCCAAGAUAGAUAAUGACAUUGACAUGCUAGUAAAUCCUAACUUGAAACUCACAGGUGGAUGGGAGGUUUUCAUGAAAUGCCUACACAAACACAAAAGAUAUAAGAUACUAAUCUAUUUCACAUCACAUAUAUUAUGCUGCGCAUUACAAUCACAUAUACGAGUUCCAUUAACAAAGCGAGCAUCAAAUUGCUUUAGCAAUAAAAAUCUGAAUACC